GGUGAACGCUGGCGGUAGGCCUAACACAUGCAAGUCGAACGGCAGCACAGUAAGAGCUUGCUCUUACGGGUGGCGAGUGGCGGACGGGUGAGGAAUACAUCGGAAUCUACUUUUUCGUGGGGGAUAACGUAGGGAAACUUACGCUAAUACCGCAUACGACCUACGGGUGAAAGCAGGGGAUCUUCGGACCUUGCGCGAUUGAAUGAGCCGAUGUCGGAUUAGCUAGUUGGCGGGGUAAAGGCCCACCAAGGCGACGAUCCGUAGCUGGUCUGAGAGGAUGAUCAGCCAAACUGGAACUGAGACACGGUCCAGACUCCUACGGGAGGCAGCAGUGGGGAAUAUUGGGCAAUGGGCGCAAGCCUGAUCCAGCCAUACCGCGAGGGUGAAGAAGGCCUUCGGGUUGUAAAGCCCUUUUGUUGGGAAAGAAAAGCAGCAGGUUAAUACCCCGCUGUUCUGACGGUACCCAAAGAAUAAGCACCGGCUAACUUCGUG
RNAcentral lists this ribosomal RNA (492 nucleotides) under uncultured bacterium. RNAcentral describes it as "partial 16S ribosomal RNA". It matches the Rfam family "Bacterial small subunit ribosomal RNA", at positions 28 to 507 of the family's 1533-position model. The record is from RNAcentral.